UACGUAGGGUGCGAGCGUUGUCCGGAAUUAUUGGGCGUAAAGAGCUCGUAGGCGGCCUGUCGCGUCGGAUGUGAAAACUCGGGGCUUAACCCCGAGCCUGCAUUCGAUACGGGCAGGCUAGAGUUCGGCAGGGGAGACUGGAAUUCCUGGUGUAGCGGUGAAAUGCGCAGAUAUCAGGAGGAACACCGGUGGCGAAGGCGGGUCUCUGGGCCGAUACUGACGCUGAGGAGCGAAAGCGUGGGGAGCAAACAGG
Molecule: ribosomal RNA, 253 nt
Filed under: uncultured bacterium
Lineage: Bacteria
Description: partial 16S ribosomal RNA
Rfam family: Bacterial small subunit ribosomal RNA
Source: RNAcentral